Molecule: long non-coding RNA, 552 nt
Organism: Gossypium arboreum
Lineage: Eukaryota; Viridiplantae; Streptophyta; Magnoliopsida; Malvales; Malvaceae
Exons: 2
Source: RefSeq, a predicted model, not a curated record
UGUUUCUAAAAAAAAAUAAAUUUCUUCCUUGUUUUCUCUGCAGGCUAAAUUUCUUCCUUGUUUUCUCUGCAAGUCUAGGUUCCGGCGAGGUCCCUAGCCGGUCGCCACCAUUCUCAGCCGCCGUAAGCCACCGUACACGGUGGCCGAAAAGGUGCAACUUGUUGGAGUUCAGUGGCUGACAUGGGCGGUGCUGAGGUGACCGGUGGUGCAGGCGGUCAGUGGGUAGUUGGCCAAAAGUCAGGGGGUUCGGCGCUGCAAGCUAGGGGUUAGGGUUUUUGUUUUUUCUGUUUUGGUUUGGUAUUGGGCCACCUGGGUUUGGUUUAAUUUAGGGAUUAGGCUUGGGUUAAAAUGGGUUAGUUGGGCUAAUUGGUAUUGGGUUUGCUGUAUUGAGUCUUGGAUAGUUAAGAUUUUAGGUUUGCUGUAAAUGGGAUUGGGUUUAAGGGCCCGGGCAAUUUGGGAUUCUACAGUAUUCAUAGCCCAAUCUGGGUUUAGGUUGGAUUUAUGGAUGAUGUCAAUAUCAUACAAUCUCACUCAAGUUUGGCUGACUCAAAA